CGCGUAGGCUGCGGGGCAAGUCGGGUGUGAAAUCUCAGAGCUCAACUCUGAAACUGCACUCGAUACUGCUUUGCUUGAGGACUGGAGAGGAGAUUGGAAUUCACGGUGUAGCAGUGAAAUGCGUAGAUAUCGUGAGGAAGACCAGUGGCGAAGGCGGAUCUCUGGACAGUUCUGACGCUGAGGCGCGAAGGCCAGGGGAGCAAACG
This 206-nucleotide ribosomal RNA is filed under the name uncultured bacterium. RNAcentral's name for it is "partial 16S ribosomal RNA". It matches the Rfam family "Bacterial small subunit ribosomal RNA", at positions 568 to 774 of the family's 1533-position model. The record is from RNAcentral.